Molecule: ribosomal RNA, 274 nt
Filed under: uncultured bacterium
Lineage: Bacteria
Description: partial 16S ribosomal RNA
Rfam family: Bacterial small subunit ribosomal RNA
Source: RNAcentral
AUACGGAGGGUGCAAGCGUUACUCGGAAUCACUGGGCGUAAAGCGUGCGCAGGCGGUCUUUUAAGUUGGAUGUGAAAGCCUACGGCUCAACCGUAGAACUGCAUCCAAAACUAUUAGACUAGAGUGUGGGAGAGGAAGAUGGAAUUAGUUGUGUAGGGGUAAAAUCCGUAGAGAUAACUAGGAAUACCAAAAGCGAAGGCAAUCUUCUGGAACACUACUGACGCUGAGGCGCGAAAGCGUGGGGAGCAAACAGGAUUAGAAACCCUAGUAGUCC